Molecule: ribosomal RNA, 1231 nt
Filed under: Taylorella asinigenitalis
Lineage: Bacteria; Pseudomonadati; Pseudomonadota; Betaproteobacteria; Burkholderiales; Alcaligenaceae
Description: bacterial LSU rRNA
Rfam family: Bacterial large subunit ribosomal RNA
Source: RNAcentral
GAUCACAGGCGAAGAAGGACGUAAUAGCUUGCGAAAAGCUGCGGGGAGUUGGCAAAUGAGCAUUGAUCCGCAGAUAUCCGAAUGGGGAAACCCACCUCUUUUUAGGAGGUAUCCUUAUCUGAAUACAUAGGGUGAGGAGGCGAACCGAGUGAACUGAAACAUCUAAGUAACUCGAGGAGAAGAAAUCAACCGAGAUUCUGAAAGUAGUGGCGAACGAAAUUGGAGCAGCCGCAACGAGAUAGUAAUUGUAGUAGUCGAACUUACUGGGAAGUAAGACCGUAGAGGGUGAUAGUCCUGUAGACGAAACUAUAGUUAUGGUACUAGGCGUUGCAACAAGUAGGGCGGGACACGUGUAAUCCUGUUCGAAGAUGGGGGGACCAUCCUCCAAGGCUAAAUACUCGUGAUCGACCGAUAGUGAACCAGUACCGUGAGGGAAAGGCGAAAAGAACCCCGGGAGGGGAGUGAAAUAGAACCUGAAACCGUGUGCAUACAAACAGUCGGAGCCUCAGAUUAAAGAGUCUUUUUUAAAGUAAAAAGAAUCGAAUCGAUUUGAUUAAACCGAAAUCGAAUUGAUCUAAGUAAAUAUAAGCUUUAGAGAGGGUUUUUUAAUCUGGGGUGACGGCGUACCUUUUGUAUAAUGGGUCAGCGACUUACAUUCAGUGGCAAGCUUAACCGAAUAGGGUAGGCGUAGCGAAAGCGAGUCCGAAUAGGGCGUCUAUAGUCGCUGGGUGUAGACCCGAAACCAGAUGAUCUAUCCAUGGCCAGGUUGAAGGUGCCGUAACAGGUACUGGAGGACCCAACCCACUAAUGUUGAAAAAUUAGGGGAUGAGCUGUGGAUAGGGGUGAAAGGCUAAACAAAUCUGGAAAUAGCUGGUUCUCUCCGAAAACUAUUUAGGUAGUGCCUCAUGAAUAACUGUUGGGGGUAGAGCACUGUUAUGGCUAGGGGGUCAUGGCGACUUACCAAACCAUGGCAAACUCCGAAUACUGACAAGUUCGAUCAUGGGAGACAGAGCACUGGGUGCUAACGUCCAGACUCAAGAGGGAAACAACCCAGACCGCCAGCUAAGGUCCCUAAAAUUGGCUAAGUGGGAAACGAAGUGGGAAGGCAUAGACAGUCAGGAGGUUGGCUUAGAAGCAGCCACCCUUUAAAGAAAGCGUAAUAGCUCACUGAUCGAGUCGUCCUGCGCGGAAGAUGUAACGGGGCUAAGCCAGUUACCGAAGCUGCGGAUGC